Non-coding RNA from Paramuricea clavata, 700 nucleotides. NCBI's taxonomy places the organism in Eukaryota, Metazoa, Cnidaria, Anthozoa, Malacalcyonacea, Plexauridae. The record is from the annotation of a GenBank genome assembly.
UGGCAGUUUAGCGGAUAUUUUCUAACUGUGCAGUUUUUUUAUACACCUGCAGUAUAGUAUAUCCUGUAGGGCGUUCUGGAAUGACGACUACAGUCUACACCCACCAGCAAUGUGUAGUACGUUGCAUUUUUUUUUUUUGUACACCGAAUAAGAACAUUAUUUGGGUAAAUUCCUUAUCUUAUGGUAAUGUAUUUUAUACGUUUUCAUGCUUCAUGGUCAGAGGUGGAGCCUCGACUAUGACAAUAUUUAUAAACCAAUUAUCAAAGUUAAAGACAGACUGUGCAGUAAAGACGGCAAUUGUUAAUACCAUUUUUAUCGAAGCUGGUCGUUUUCCUUUUUUCCGUUGCGCUUUUCAUAUGUUUUCUGUCAGCAUUCACCUAUUACGUCGGUUCAUAAUGAAACUGCGACGAUCCUUCUCACUUUUCUCUGUAUAGCACGAUCAGUGGUCCCAACUUCCUUGUUUUUAGGCGAGAUUGAUCAACCGGCAGUUAAGUCUCUUUAUUUUUAUGUUCGCCUUUUCUCUGUCACUCCACGUGCAAAUUCAAUUAAGAUCAAUUUUCUGUUGCGUUUCUGCUGAGAUCUGGAAACGAACUACAAAGAUCAGUUAAUCAUCACAGUAAGGCAGAGUCACAGCAAAUACUAACAGCUAUAAAGUGAUUUUGGAAAAUAGCCCUUCUGGGCUCGAUAAUUUACUUUUCAG